Long non-coding RNA from Rosa chinensis, 763 nucleotides. RefSeq lists it as uncharacterized. NCBI's taxonomy places the organism in Eukaryota, Viridiplantae, Streptophyta, Magnoliopsida, Rosales, Rosaceae. The transcript is spliced from 4 exons. The record is from RefSeq and is a predicted model, not a curated record.
CUAAAAAAGAAAAGAAAAGAUAAAACAAUAUAUGUCCGUCGCCAAACCGGUACAUCCAAAUAUAAUAAUAGUUUUCAUCCUCUUUUUGUUCCUCUCUCUUUCAUUUUUGAGUUUUCAUGAUCUCCUCCCUCUCACUGCCAUGGAUACCUCCGUCAAAGGUGAGGGCGAUGAGCGCGCGAUAGCCGAUCUCCUGUCUCAUGCAUGGCCGCUUCAUUUUCUUAAGCUUAUUGAGCGCCCCUUUACGUUGCUUGAGGAAGAACCACAGUCUAAAAGACAAAGCCCUAUAUAAGAGUUGAAAAGAUGUUUGAAAAAAAACUCAAACUAAGCUUCCAAGUCCACCUGACUUCAUUCUUUGCGUUUUACCAGAGAGGAAAGAUUCUUAUAUUUAUGGUUUUAGGCUCUUGAAGUUGGCCACUUAAUUCAAGUUGGAUGAUUCAAGCAGAAACAAUUUGACACGUUUGACAACUCUUAAGUCCCUAAACUGAAGAGAUUUGAUCCUACACAUUCAGAUAGGUGAUCUCUACCAGGUAUUUACACAUUUGGAAACGCUCUUGAUGUUCAAAAUUAUUCAUAUGCCUCAGUGCUUUGCUGAUGGAAUUGUUAAUUCAUUAUUUGGUUCAUCCACUCUGAAGAUUAAACUUGAGCAGUGCUAAUAUGUUUUACUUGGUAAUUGUCUGUACAAUUUGUUCUCCUGGCCAUGCUUACGAAGGAUAGUCAUUUCAUGAGAUGUACUUGGUCAUUGCUUUCUUGUAACCUAUAUAGA